Molecule: long non-coding RNA, 7497 nt
Filed under: Varroa destructor (honeybee mite)
Lineage: Eukaryota; Metazoa; Arthropoda; Arachnida; Mesostigmata; Varroidae
Description: uncharacterized LOC111248776
Source: RNAcentral
AAACGAAAGUAAAAAUGCUGGUUAGUAGAAUAAACCAAUAAAGCACACUCAUGUUUCAGCGAGCUGUGACUAAAUACGGCAGUGUUAAUCUACUGAAUAAGUAAUCAAUUCAGACAAACUAUAAUAAACGUAACACAUCCUUUUGCAGGUAUGUGUGUGUGUAUUAUAUAUUUGUAUUAUUAAACUGUUACAAAAAUUAGGAAAAAAUCUGCCAGACAAAACAUCUUUUUGGUCGUUCUUUUCCUAUGAGUGUCCCAUAUUACCCGAAAAGGGAGAAAUUAGUGGGAGCAAAUUCUUAGCUUUUAACGUAUUCAGCUUUGCCGAGAAUUCGAGAAAUUGUUCAUAAUUUUCUCGAACUCUGUGCUUAUAUGUCUGACUGAAACAUGAAGUAUACUUCAGAGAACUACAGAUACAUGAAAAAAUCGUAUCGAUUUGUAAUGGAUUAAAGAAAUAAAUGCUCGUCUUGCCGAAAAACAAAUGGGUGUGUUGAAGGGGAAUCCUUCACAAAAAUGGCAUAAUUGUAUUUAUAUGGAACACAUCAUUUUAGGUUCCGUGAAUUUUUCCAAGACCCAGAAACACUUUUGAAGUGGGCAACUAAUCACUGUAAACUUAACCCGUAACGACUCUUCCUGAGGAAGUCCAUAUAUGAGAUUCUAGCACGACGCGUCGAAAUGUAAUAGGUAUCUUAUAUGGGAGUCUAAACGAUGGUAUUCCGUUCUUAGCUAGGAUGUGCCGUUACGUUUUUCAGCACUUCUGCCAAAAAAACGCACGCGCGCGCGCACGCCCAUUAUUACUCUUUCGCGUAGUUCUUCAACAGAGGACCGUGUUUAAUUAAUAAACACGGUCCUCUGUUGUAAUAAAAUAAGUCCUGUAUAGCAAAUAAAGUGAUAAACUUGUAAUAAAGCAUUCAACGAGCUUGUCUGGUAAUUCUGUUCGACGUAUUUUAUUACUUUUUACAUGAUAUACAUAACCAUCUUUACUUCGAACGGAUAUCAUAUGGGAAGCCAGAACUUCAGCAACAGUUAGCAACUCAUCACAGCGUGCCAAAGAGAACCCCCAUUGAAUUAGUCGAGUAAUAGUCGCAUUAUUUCUUCCCUAACGACAAAAAACAACGUCUCCUGGCUCUCUUCUCUCUCUUCGAAAUUCGCAUCUCUAAAUCAUUUACUCCAUUCAUGUACAGAUGAACCUAAAACUUCCCAUUUGAUAAAAGCCGUUGGCCAUAUUAGGAUGAACAUUUAGAUACCAGAUAUCCGAGCGGCUAACGAUACAUACUUCUACCGUCAUAGCAUGGGCCUGCAACGAUCUAAUGAAACCUAAUUCAAAUAACUACAGCUAAUCCAGUAUAGUUCACGAUAUCCACGGCCAUCGAUGGUGUAAUACUGUAUUCUACUACAUCAGAUCUAUCGAUAAACAAUCCUUGAAUUUCAAGAACCUAAUAAAUGGUUUCCACUGAUUCAAACUCACAAUUUUGCUUCGUCCUUCAUUACACUAACGAAUAUAUUCUCGUAUGACUUUCGGCGCUAAUUUCUUAGAACGUAACUUUCUAAAAAAAGCCAUUGCUUAGUAAAUACUGUUGUUGUUGUUGCUGUUUUGACAACAACUAAUAUCAGUCAUUUGUCAACGAUUUAAAAUAAGCCAUGAUUCCUCAUCAUUUCGCUUUUAUAUGAGAUUGAAUAGUUGGGCAGUUACUAUUCAGAGCUAUCCUCUAGCUAUACAACCACGUCCGUUUGGCAUUGCCGUUAAGCAUUACCUCAUCAAGAUCUCAAAACCAUUUUUGGCCGGAAUCAAACGUAAACUUUCGUGCCUGGUUUGGGACCUAGACGACUAUGCGUGUAUCCGAGCUUGCUAGGUAAACAUCUUACCUGCUUCUUGAAAUCUUUUUUAUGUCGGUCAUCCGCAGAAUUCCAGAUUGAAAUAAAUAGAUAGCUCAAAUAUUAUAAACAUAUGCCGUUUUGAUUAAAUAAACAUAUAUAAUAAUAAUAGAAUAUACUAUUGGAACGUGCACGCUUUUGAGCUUUCAUUUGCGAUGUGAAAUCUCAACGGUUCCAAGAAGAUUGCUAGUUUUCGCAUAUCAUGUAUAAGAUAUGUGAUAUUGUGCUUGGCUCGAGGUACCAGAUCAACCAAUUUUACACUCACUUCCAUAUUUUGUUUGUUUUAGAUAAUAAAAACUGAGUAAAAAUGAUUGACUAUUUCUGAGCCUGCUCCGAGAGUACUCUAAAAAGACAGAACUGUACUUUACAAAAGAAAUUGCUGAAAGUCUAGACUAAUCUGAGGGCUUUUGCAAAGGUGUCUUUAAUUCGGGAAUGUCUCAGACCCUUUCCUACUUUGUAAACAAAGAAAGGCCUAAGCUAGACAUACAUGUCGAUCUAAUUUUGCAUUGACCGGUGUAACGAAUUCCCAAGUAUGUACACAAAUAGCGGUAGUAUCGAAAUGUUGCGGAAUGUACGCGGUCUACAACGGUGUUACCCAUUGCACUUCGCCCAAUAUGUCGUAGAGAUCUAAUUCGCAUGAUUACUAUCCGCGUGAUGUUUGUUCUUGGCCUCGGCUGAGAAUCAUCCUUUGAGCUGCGGCGUCCCACGGCACGUUCUUAGCUGGCAAAGGUGCUGCCUAGAUAGAUCUAAGUGAUUAAAAUGAACCUAUGAGGAUAGAAUGCGCAAGCUCAACAGGGGUGAAGAGACCUGAGCGAGUGAAAGAGAUCGGCAGUGACUGCUAGCUAGACGCGCUUCAAGGCGAAAAACCUUGGUAAAGUCCGCCAAGGGUUUUUCUAUCAUUAGCUUGUUAUAGGAAUCCGAAAUGUCAAACCGGAGUAGCACCGCAGCUUUUAAACUAAGCAGGACCUCCAGAACUGAACAUGUGCUUUGUAGAACAAGGAAGUUUUAAGUACUUAUGUGCAUCUAAGACAUGUAGGUAACACUAACCCCUCCUCCUUUGCAUGGACUCAACCCUGAAUGAAAAUUCUUCUUUAUUGAGAGUGGUCUAUAUAGAAGUAACGUUUUGAUAUUGGUGAUUCAACAAUUAAAGUGAAAUAGAGCCACUGACUGUGAUACUGGGCAUUAUCGUAGUAACAAUACCACAAACUGUAAUUUAACCACGCCUACAAGAUGUCCCCAGCCCAAACUGCACAACAUGAAAAAGAGCUCACUGGAAGCAUUUUCUGCCGCUUCGCGUCGCCUUAUAAACAACAGCAUAGUUUUUGUCUUAUGUACAUCGAUAUGUUAACAUCUAGAACAGUGAUCCAGAAAUGUAAGAAAGCUGUAGAGAGAACAUUGUGCAUAUAUGGUAGAACUGGCACUUCUAGUGGUCAUGUUUAUCCCGUCUAACGACCAUUCACCACUAUUACAGCUCCCAUUCACGAGCUAAGCCACAAAUUAAUAAAUUUAACAUUAUUUAAUUUCUUAAUUGGCAAAUAACUGUUUUAUACUAACCGCGCGUGCAGCGAUGUUGGUAGUUACAAACUCGUUAGAGUAUCGCUCAAGUAGGUUACAUACAGAAAAUUUAAAUGAAAUUAAAUUUGGGUUGGCCAAAAGUCCUAAGACGCAACAACUCAAAACGGCCUGAAAGCCCGAAAGGUGCACUAAGGCCCCAAAAACUGUCCGUUGAAGCUUAUCUGAACUACUCAAUUGGCAGUUUAUUAUCUCCUCCCCAAAAUAGCCUUUAAUUUCUCUAUCGAAAAACUAGAUUCAUCAAAUUUCUUUUCUAAGCCAUUUUUAUGAUAUUUUGAGCUUCUUGAACGCACCGCCCUGCGGGUUUCACGGUUGUUUGACAGGGCAAUACGCAGAAGUCUUGGAGGAUUUCUCAUGCCUCCUAUUGAGGUUACCGUAUCCAUGCAUUGAUCUCUUGAAUCGGCUUGGGAUAAUACGUUCCGGCUCCUACCAACUCCAUACAAGGCCAUCAUUACAAAAGCGGCAUUUGAAAAGUACCAUUUUGAACAUAAAGCUAUGUCAACAAACUAAUGUGAUCCAGGUUUAAUACCGUUGGGUAAAUAAUCAAAAGCACUUUCAUAGCGUCUGUUACACCCCGCCUUUUUCGAGGGCUUAUGAGGUUUACAUAAACAUUAUAAAUAGCAACCAUAAUUAUUUCAACCAAACGACUGUUUACCGGCUAAGCCGGUAGGAGAAACAAACCGAUAGAACGCUACUUUGCUGAUUUUUUACUGGUUAUGUCUUUGUAUAAUUUUCGUUCUAUAUAAAAAUUAGCGCCCGCGUACUCGUUACUGUUACCAUACGCUUGCAUGCCAGAGGUCAAAACCGAUCCGGUCUGCCAGCCACCUUAGAUGAACUAGCCUAAAAACUCAAGGUGCUAAAACAACAAAGCCCAGUUUUAGGAAUUACAGUCUCACCAUGCCAGCCUCGAUCCUAUGGGGUGACAGGUCUUUUAAAAACACGUACAACUACAACCACAAUGACGGUGUUUAACUGUGUAUCUGCCAGUUACCAACCCUGACUUGUAAUAAAAUGAUAAACCCUUGAAAGUGUCGCCAGUAUGUCCGUAUUGUUUCUGUUUUGCAUGGCAAAGAGACGGUACAAAGCCGUCAGCUCACAGUAAAGAUGAUAAUAUAUCGCAUUAGUAACGGUAAUAGACAGACAUGUUUCGAAGUGAUGUUUUGUGGCCUAUUGAAACCGCACACAGUCGUCGUUCCAUUUAGUACUGAGUACUGAAAACUUCAACCUUUCUCUACUGGUUUGCCUUAUUUUUUCAUUAGUGUUAUCGCGUAUGUGGUAUUCGGUCUCGCCGUUGGCUGAUCUCAACAAAAACAAGUGUGUUAAUUGCCUAUUCCCGACUAAUACAUCCUAACUAGCUCAUCUGCUCAGCUUGCCGUCAUUCGGCCCAGCUUCGCCUACCCAAAUUGAAUGCAGAGGCCUUUCAAGCGAAAACUAGCGGGCUACACCGUGCGCGGUGAGGACGACUCAACAGCGCACCGAGAAGACGUCGCUUAGAAGAUAGCAGCUCGUGACGGGCAUAAAAGGUGCGCGAGUCUAAGAUCAACCGUAAAGAAUGGCGGUGUCAUCCAGUAAGAAGACGAUGAUGACGCAAGUAGAUGGAUUCACCAGGGAACGAACGGUGUGAUCGGUGAAUACUAUGCGUGUAGUACUUUUUAGAAUGGCUUCCUGAGAAUCAUUUUUUCGGUGCUCGACUGCCGUACGUUGGGGUAAUAACAGGAAUAGGAUGAUAGGUGGUCAAUCUAAGGUGCCAGGGCUGCAUAAUGUCACUAACGUUAUUAGAAAUAUGUGUGUUUACGUAUUACUACCUAAGGUAUGCUACAGAAAUAAAAAAAACUACUUGGUAAUCUUCCUGCUUCAUUUUUGUUCGUAUGAUAAAUACUAGAAAACGAGCAAAAUACCUAAAAGGAGCCGAUUUUUUUUUACUUUUUAAUUUUUUUAAAGAAUCAGGAGGCAACUUUUGGCCAUUGGUCGCUGUUCGCUACAUACGCAUUGACUUUUUUGCUAUUUUAGCAAAGAAGUAUAACGUGGUCGAUGCAGGAAUAUCUCGAGAACACUGGACAGCGUAUAUGACUUGGACGCUUUCUCCGCAUUUCUGUGAAUGUUAACUUUAGCUGGAAACUGGGCCCUAGCUCAAGUGUCGACUCAUAGAAAUGAUAUAUAUUCGUAGAUUCUCAAUACGACUCAACAUGCAUAGAGCGUUAAAUGCUUUGAAUUUAUUAAGCAUUGAUCAUUGUCUUUAUAAAUGCACAUUUCUGUGCUAUGAAACAUUGAUAUAAUGGGCAAAUGAAAUGAUUCAAACUGUCCUACCAAUGAACAAAUACAAUGUAUUGGCAAAUUGUGUGCUUAGAGUUACACGACCGAAUUCUCGUACCGAAUCAGCCAGCGGCAGUAGCGUUUUGUGCUAGCUCAAUCCAAUCGACGCCGUGAGUCAAGAUGGGAACCCACACUGUCGUGACCUAUUCCGCAAAAGGAACGCUAACACCUGUCGAAGUUGGCGCAAGCCUGCAACCAUCAUUAUUGUUACCAUCUCAAAUGAUUUUACUAUCGCGUUCUGUCUGGUAGUGAGUCGUAGCUCUCAGCUUUUCGUUCGGCGACGAUGUAGUCUGUCCAAUAAAGUCUAGCAUCUGCUUUUUCUAUUGGGCCUUUAAGCCAAUGCCAGCCAAUGUCCACUAAGAUAAAUUGGGCCUGCCUGAGAAAUGCUAUUAUCGUUGUCGUAAGCUUUUAGUGACUUUAACAUACUAACGAUCAAUGCCUAACCACUAUAAAUUCAAAUCAACCAACUUUCCGAUAAAUACUCAUAACACAAUAAGAUUUCACAAACGAUGAUAAGCCCGUGAAAAAGCGAAUAUCACAACUGUACACGAUAAUACUAAGUAACUACAAGACACGAUCACAUAUUAUUAAACAAAUUACUUGUACAUAUAUGUGUUGGCGCAGGGCUUGAAUGUUUAUAGGCGCUCAGUUUUUUAAUUUGACUUAUAAGCGAAAGAUGUUUCAGGUGACUAUAUAUUACAGCGCAAUCCCUACAGAAGGGAAUAGGCCGUGACGCCGCACAUUAAUAGCCGGGCACAGGCCGCACAAACCGUACAAAUAAAAGAAAAAUUGGUAAGACGCUAGUUCUAAGUGAGUCCGCACAGAUCUCUGCUUUUAAUGCGUGGCAUUCUUCAGACGGGUUUUCGUGGUUUCAGUGGUAUCUACAUAUGAUCUACAGUCAACUAAUCCGUUGAGGGCGUGCGGGACGCUAUCGGAUGUUACAGCCAAUUUUCGAUAUAUAGACUGACGGCUCCGAGAGCAGAGCAACUUGUAGAUGGAGGAUCUCUUCAACGGAAAACAACGGAUAACGUCAUCAAUGUCGUAAUUUCAAUCACCCAGAGCGUCAACUCCCGUAAGAGCACAUAGAUACGCUGGUAACGUAGCAGCACAGGUAUAUUGGAUAAAACGGCCUUGCGACGCGGGCGAGGGUAAGCGCCACAUUCCCUCGUCACAGGCUUUAUAACAUGAAUCAAAUGAUAAUGGAAAUAAUAAGACGACCAGCGCUUCUCAUCAAAGAUAAUGCCGUAUAUCAAGUGCAAGCUUUUCUGGAGCUAGCCGAUGUGGGAGCACACACACGUGCAAUGAUCAAGGUCGGGUCAUACAGAAACAAACCAUACGACUCAUAACUUUCGCUACUGCCAUCUCCAUGAUCGGUCUACAUGGUAACGUAGCGAUGGCCUGACGAAGAGAGGAGAUUACUUAGUACUAACUGAACAUGCGGCAACAUCAUUCGCUCAAAGUGCAUUUAUAUAAAGAUGGUCCGAAAUCAUGAGCUAACAGGAAGCCGGUCUGGCCAGUAGCCUAUAAAGCGCUUACAAUGCAUACGUUUGAAAAAACAAGCGAAGGCCAUAUAGGCAGCAGCCCCUUGAGCAAACAACUAACCGGACGUUUCGUACGGAACGUGCCAUCAAAUGAGGCGAAACCGCAUUUCAAAGACGUAGACAACGAGGAAAUCGGCGAAUCUCUCGGCAAAUUCAGUAGGCUGAUGACUAAUAAAGCGUUUGUUCACGCAUAAACGAUA